GAUGAAGAACUCAGCGAAAUGCGAUAAGUAGUGUGAAUUGCAGAAUUCAGUGAAUCAUCGAAUCUUUGAACGCACAUUGCGCCCCUUGGUAUUCCAUGGGGCAUGCCUGUUCGAGCGUCAUUUGUACCUUCAAGCUUUGCUUGGUGUUGGGUGUUUGUCCCGAGGGACUCGCCUUAAAGUAAUUGGCAGCCAGUGUUUGGUUUUGAAGCGCAGCACAAGUCGCGAUUCAAGGCUACACGCCCGCUUCCACAAGCCUUUUUUCACUUUUGACCUCGGAUCAGGUAGGGAUACCCGCUGAACUUAAGCAUAUCAAUAAGCGGAGGA
This 324-nucleotide unclassified non-coding RNA is filed under the name soil metagenome. Its description in RNAcentral is "partial contains 5.8S ribosomal RNA, internal transcribed spacer 2, and large subunit ribosomal RNA". The stretch from base 1 to 120 matches the Rfam family "5.8S ribosomal RNA", at positions 35 to 154 of the family's 154-position model. The record is from RNAcentral.